AUGACUCAGCAGUCCCCUACAUCUACAUAUACUUGCAUAGUUAUCUUUGGUUGUCGCACGGCUGCAUGCCACCGGCCGAUGGGAAACAUUAUUCUUAUGCACAUGGUAACAUGCUAUUGCCCUGUUAAACCGCAUCAUAAUAAAUCUUGUCUCUUACUCUUUGCCGUGGACCUAAUUUCAUUACUUGUGGAUAAUGAAAUCUUGUGUGUUACCCCCAUCCAUCUAGGUGGCCGGUGCAAUGUCAUUGUCCACCUCAGAAGCACACGGUUUCGUCGAAAACCGUCAUUGGACGGGAAUUAA
RNAcentral lists this ribosomal RNA (300 nucleotides) under Triticum aestivum (bread wheat). RNAcentral's name for it is "partial small subunit ribosomal RNA". The record is from RNAcentral. Lineage: Eukaryota; Viridiplantae; Streptophyta; Magnoliopsida; Poales; Poaceae.